RNAcentral lists this ribosomal RNA (929 nucleotides) under Cortinarius sp. PDD 106245. RNAcentral's name for it is "partial large subunit ribosomal RNA". It matches the Rfam family "Eukaryotic large subunit ribosomal RNA", at positions 39 to 954 of the family's 3401-position model. The record is from RNAcentral. Lineage: Eukaryota; Fungi; Basidiomycota; Agaricomycetes; Agaricales; Cortinariaceae.
CAUAUCAAUAAGCGGAGGAAAAGAAACUAACAAGGAUUCCCCUAGUAACUGCGAGUGAAGCGGGAAAAGCUCAAAUUUAAAAUCUGGCGGUCUUUGGCCGUCCGAGUUGUAAUCUAGAGAAGUGCUAUCCGCGCUGGACCGUGUACAAGUCUCCUGGAAUGGAGCGUCAUAGAGGGUGAGAAUCCCGUCUUUGACACGGACUGCCAGUGCUUUGUGAUGUGCUCUCAAAGAGUCGAGUUGUUUGGGAAUGCAGCUCAAAAUGGGUGGUAAAUUCCAUCUAAAGCUAAAUAUUGGCGAGAGACCGAUAGCGAACAAGUACCGUGAGGGAAAGAUGAAAAGAACUUUGGAAAGAGAGUUAAACAGUACGUGAAAUUGCUGAAAGGGAAACGCUUGAAGUCAGUCGCGUUGUCCAGGGAUCAACCUUGCUUUUGCUUGGUGCACUUUCUGGUUGACGGGUCAGCAUCAAUUUUGACUAUUGGAAAAAGAUUAGGGGAAUGUGACAUCUUCGGAUGUGUUAUAGCCCUUGGUUGCAUACAAUGGUUGGGAUUGAGGAACUCAGCACGCCGCAAGGCCGGGUUUUUAACCACGUACGUGCUUAGGAUGCUGGCAUAAUGGCUUUAAUCGACCCGUCUUGAAACACGGACCAAGGAGUCUAACAUGCCUGCGAGUGUUUGGGUGGAAAACCCGAGCGCGUAAUGAAAGUGAAAGUUGAGAUCCCUGUCGUGGGGAGCAUCGACGCCCGGACCAGACCUUUUGUGACGGCUCCGCGGUAGAGCAUGUAUGUUGGGACCCGAAAGAUGGUGAACUAUGCCUGAAUAGGGUGAAGCCAGGGGAAACCCUGGUGGAGGCUCGUAGCGAUUCUGACGUGCAAAUCGAUCGUCAAAUUUGGGUAUAGGGGCGAAAGACUAAUCGAACCAUCUAGUAGCUGG